Molecule: ribosomal RNA, 253 nt
Filed under: uncultured Leptolinea sp.
Lineage: Bacteria; Bacillati; Chloroflexota; Anaerolineae; Anaerolineales; Anaerolineaceae
Description: partial 16S ribosomal RNA
Rfam family: Bacterial small subunit ribosomal RNA
Source: RNAcentral
AACGUAGGAGCCAAGCGUUAUCCGAAUUCACUGGGCGUAAAGCGCAUGUAGGCGGCUUGAUAAGUUGGAUGUGAAAUCUCCUGGCUCAACUGGGAGGGGACGUUCAAUACUGUCGAGCUUGAGGGCAGCAGAGGGAGGUGGAAUUCCCGGUGUAGUGGUGAAAUGCGUAGAUAUCGGGAGGAACACCAGUGGCGAAAGCGGCCUCCUGGGCUGCACCUGACGCUCAGAUGCGAAAGCUAGGGGAGCGAACGGG